This 69-nucleotide transfer RNA is filed under the name Anaecypris hispanica. Its description in RNAcentral is "tRNA-Phe". It matches the Rfam family "tRNA". Rfam says of the family: Transfer RNA (tRNA) molecules are approximately 80 nucleotides in length. Their secondary structure includes four short double-helical elements and three loops (D, anti-codon, and T loops). Further hydrogen bonds mediate the characteristic L-shaped molecular structure. tRNAs have two regions of fundamental functional importance: the anti-codon, which is responsible for specific mRNA codon recognition, and the 3' end, to which the tRNAs corresponding amino acid is attached (by aminoacyl-tRNA synthetases). tRNAs cope with the degeneracy of the genetic code in two manners: having more than one tRNA (with a specific anti-codon) for a particular amino acid; and 'wobble' base-pairing, i.e. permitting non-standard base-pairing at the 3rd anti-codon position. Lineage: Eukaryota; Metazoa; Chordata; Actinopteri; Cypriniformes; Leuciscidae. The record is from RNAcentral. RNAcentral also lists the same sequence under 2 other names.
GCUAGCGUAGCUUAGAACAAAGCAUAACACUGAAGAUGUUAAGAUGGGCCCUGACAAGCUCCGCAUGCA